Molecule: ribosomal RNA, 292 nt
Filed under: uncultured bacterium
Lineage: Bacteria
Description: partial 16S ribosomal RNA
Rfam family: Bacterial small subunit ribosomal RNA
Source: RNAcentral
GUGCCAGCAGCCGCGGUAAUACAGAGGGGGCAAGCGUUAUUCGGAAUUAUUGGGCGUAAAGGGCGCGUAGGCGGCCUGGCAAGUGGAAGGUGAAAUCCCUCGGCUUAACCGAGGAACUGCCUCCCAAACUGCUUGGCUUGAGACCAGGAGAGGUGAGUGGAAUUCCCAGUGUAGCGGUGAAAUGCGUAGAUAUUGGGAGGAACACCAGUGGCGAAGGCGGCUCACUGGACUGGUACUGACGCUGAGGCGCGAAAGCGUGGGGAGCAAACGGGAUUAGAUACCCUCGUAGUCC